GUCAAGUAUUCUUAGGUGGAACAAUGAACCAAGAUUCAGAAUAUCCUGAAAGUAUUGCUGAUAGAA
RNAcentral lists this transfer RNA (66 nucleotides) under Detonula confervacea. Lineage: Eukaryota; Bacillariophyta; Thalassiosirophyceae; Thalassiosirales; Thalassiosiraceae. The record is from RNAcentral.